Molecule: long non-coding RNA, 1408 nt
Organism: Pan troglodytes (chimpanzee)
Lineage: Eukaryota; Metazoa; Chordata; Mammalia; Primates; Hominidae
Exons: 4
Source: RefSeq, a predicted model, not a curated record
AGCACCUGUAGGGUCCUCUCCUCCGGGAGCACGUGCUUGGAUGCCACAGUAUCCUGUGGAUCCACACAAUGGUGCAGUGUGCCCCAGGAGCUUGCAAAGCACCACUGCAUCAAUGAUUCCACAGGUCCCCACAUGAACAGAACCUAAAUAACACGCAAGAAACAACAGCAACGAGAACACUACCAGCAGCUUCUGAGAUGGGCAAGCUGAGCUGAUCAUGAGACACCUGACGGGGAUGGUGCCAGAACCCCUCUCCCAGUGACCUGUGAGGACGGCGCUGCCGGCAUCUCCCUAGAACCUGCCCAAGUCAAGUUAGACUCGAGGCUCCCAGGAGUGGGGCAGAUCCGUUCAAUCCCACAAUCUGAACAUUCUUCUAGGCCAUCUCAUGGCCCCCAUCUCAUAGAUGGGAACUGGGACACUGCACCAUAGACCCGGUCUUCUACACCACACACCAGUACAGUGAGCACUUACGGACUGGGUAUUCACAUAAAAUACUGCUUAACUAAAACUUCUGAUUUAGAAAAUGUUUAAUUCCUACUCACAGAGCUGAAAGUGCUCUGUCCUAGAAGGCAGCGGCUGCAAUUAAGCUUGAGAGAGGAAGAAGGGAUCAGAGUGGGGCCAAGUAUUUAAAUAUUCAACUAAAUCUAUUCACCACGUUGCCAUGCUCCUGUCACCUGCUUCGUUUUCCGUCCUUAAAAGACACAAAAGUGGAGUCUCACUCUGUCACCCAGGCCGGAGUGCAGUAUUGCGAUCAUGGCUCAUCGCGGCCUUGACUUUCUGGCUCAAGCAAUCCUCCUGCCUCAGCCUCCCAAGCAGCUGGGACCCACAGCAUGAAGUCUCCUCCACAGUCAGACAGCAGCCUGGUUUAGAGGAACGCUGCCCACGGGACCUUGGCAGACUCCCGAUGCCGGCCGACCAGACACCCCACCCUGGGACCCUGCCGGCAGCCCCGACUGAACAGAAGGGCGUCGUGAGCAUCCUUUCCCGCCAAAAGCUGCAGACCCUGAGCCAGUCUUGGCUGUUGACAGAGGCUGCACAUAAACGUCUGCGCCCAACAGCUCAUCUUUGGUCGUGACGCGCUGAGUCCACCUCAUUUCAAAUGUUACGCUCGCCCCAAGGUGAACACAGAUGUUACAGGUUAACUCACUGCGUGUGUGCUAGACUUUCCCUGUAAACAUUCAGACAUUCCACAAUCCCGAUGAGCACACACAGCGAACAAACCCCACUUUCCCUGUAAACGUUCAGACAUUCCACGAACCUGAUGAACACACACAGCGAACAAACUCCCGUGUGUUUAAAUGCCGCGGUCUCCUCCCCUCCUGAGGGGCGUGUGCUUACAGUUCCCCCAAGACCACAUUUCCCAAAGUAGACUGUUACUCUGAAAAUAAAACCUCCUUUUUCCUUCCUC